RNAcentral lists this unclassified non-coding RNA (1384 nucleotides) under Hevea brasiliensis (rubber tree). Lineage: Eukaryota; Viridiplantae; Streptophyta; Magnoliopsida; Malpighiales; Euphorbiaceae. The record is from RNAcentral.
GUGGAUUUCAAAGCAGUCCCUCUGGUACAUGCUUAACUGAUUUGAGAUUGUUCUAUUUUACAUAUAAUAUAAUUAGGUUUUUGCUCAAAUAAUUAAUAAUAUAAAUGAAAGAAAUGACUUGCAUUGGAACCUUCAAUGUCAUUAUUGAUUCAUGAGACUCAGGUGAAUAUGAAAUGUGUUGUAAUUUUUAGUGUCUUUAGCUUUUUUACAAGAUACUGACUACUGAAAUGAUAAAAUUUAAUUUGGAAGCUUCCUGUAGCAAUUUGUAUUUCCCCUAUAGAAAAGCGUACUGUAUCAUGACAUGGUAAAUGGUCAAAGAAGCAUGAACCACCUUAUGUGUUUGUCUUUUUUUUACAAGUCUUCAAGAAUAUAGGCACUAUUUUUGUGGUAAAAUUAGGUUUACCUGUUCAUCCUUUUUAUGUUCUCUGGCUUGUUAUCGAGUAUUCAACAAAGGUAAAUGGGUUCCAAGUUUGAUAUGCUUAUCUGGGCUUCACAUGCUUGUAUGCAUGCAUUAUAUUACACUUAUUUUUAUUUUUCUGCAUUUAUAUUUCAUAGAGCCUCUUCAUAUAUGUCAAAUCCUUCCACACUUUAGAGAGAGAGGUCUUUUAUAAGACUCUAAAUUCUUGAAUGUGAAUUUGUGGAUCAGAAGGGAUAAUUGUUUGAUUUGGCUACUAUUGUUUGGAGAGUCAAAUAGGAAUCCUUUGAUGAUACAGGGGCUGAAGGACCUGAAUUUUCCUAGUGUUGUUGGGAGUGGACUACUUUGAGUGCCUCUUCUAAAGGCAAUAUAAUGUCUUUUGGGACAUCAGGCUAUUUGUUUCAUUGUUGCCUUUUCAAGUGAUUUAAUAGGCUCUAAUUGCCUCAAGCUGUUUGGGAUGGCAUUUGCAUCUGAUUUUUUAACACCUCUACCAACCUCAGAUUUUCUUUUUUGGCCUUUUUUCCUCUUCUCAUUGCAUAUUAUCUUAUUAAAAAGAGUAGCAGUAAUGUUGAGAGUUGGUGGUCUGCUGUUGAUUUGGGGAUGUGAUAUAAAUUUUGGUCAUAGAAUUGUCUUGGUGGCUUAUCUUAUUUGCACUACAGGUAGUGAAAUUUAUGAAACAUUUGAAGAUGAAGUGUUGGCCUCACUGUAGCACUAAUUCGUCCUGUAUAGAGAUGUUCUGGUUGUGGCUUCUAUGUGAAGGUCAUUUAGCGUUUUACACUUUCCACUCAUCUCUUCUCUAUUUUGAUAAGCUGUAAGCUUGCAAUUUUUAGAUGUUUAUCUUACCCAGACAGGUGUAAUAAUGUUGGAGCCAAGUGUGUUGGUCUAUUCUUUAUUAUUUUCUAAAGGUGCAGUGACAUUCCUCUGAUAAGCGUUAUAUCCUCUUGGCAUGGGCUUCUGAGUGGUUGAAAG